CAGAGUUCUCGCCCUCGCGGGUAGAUCUCCCACCCACUGUUAUUGCUACUGUGUUGCUUUGGCGGGCUGCUAGGCCCAGCCUGGCCGCCGGCUCCGGCUGGCGCGCGCCCGCCAGAGGACCACAACUCUUGUUUUUAGUGAUGUCUGAGUACUAUAUAAUAGUUA
This 165-nucleotide unclassified non-coding RNA is filed under the name uncultured Oidiodendron. RNAcentral describes it as "sequence contains ITS1". Lineage: Eukaryota; Fungi; Ascomycota; Leotiomycetes; Myxotrichaceae. The record is from RNAcentral.